This 655-nucleotide long non-coding RNA is filed under the name Androctonus crassicauda. Lineage: Eukaryota; Metazoa; Arthropoda; Arachnida; Scorpiones; Buthidae. The record is from RNAcentral.
UUUCUUUUUAUUAACUCAUUGAGGUCCACAAUAUAUUUCAAAAUAAACUUUAUUUUUAUUGCAUAUAUAUAUUAAUUUUGUGAAAUUAGUAUUACAUAAGUAUAAUCUAAAUAAAUCUGGAAUUACUGUCUUUAUGACAAAAAUCUAUUUUUAUGAUGGCUGCCAUUAAUGAUUUUGCAAUUAUGGUGGCCAAUAAAUUGAGUGGCCAUAAUGGAAGCUAUUGUAUUUCCACCAUGCAAUAUUCAUAUUUAAUUUUGGGUCUCAUAUCUCUCAGACUUUUUAGAUGUUCCAGCUUGAUCCAUUCAAAUCCUAUCCAUCAUCUGAUUGCCCACUGUUACCAUGGUUGUGAACAGCUGUAUUGAGUAUUGGGAUGCCAACUGCUUAGUAUCCAGUAAAAAUGAAAGUGGGAUAAUACAAAAGAAAAAAUGGAGUCAGACUAAUCUUUGAAAAAAAAUGGUCAGACUGGAAUUGGAUUUAAAAAUUAGAUUUCAUGUCAAUUCAGAAAUAUUUUCUGAACUGUCAUACAGUAAAUGCAAUGAAAUAUAAUAAAUUAAUUCUAUAUUAUCUAAUCAAAAGCACAGACCGGCAGUUGUAAACUCCAAUAAUUUUUUUGUUUUAUUACUAACGUUUUCGGCGCCAAUGGCGUCCUCAUCGG